This 88-nucleotide ribosomal RNA is filed under the name Serratia marcescens. Lineage: Bacteria; Pseudomonadati; Pseudomonadota; Gammaproteobacteria; Enterobacterales; Yersiniaceae. The record is from RNAcentral. RNAcentral also lists the same sequence under 3 other names.
CCUGGCGGCAAUAGCGCGGUGGUCCCACCUGACCCCAUGCCGAACUCAGAAGUGAAACGCCGUAGCGCCGAUGGUAGUGUGGGGUCUC